This 334-nucleotide unclassified non-coding RNA is filed under the name Hevea brasiliensis (rubber tree). The record is from RNAcentral. Lineage: Eukaryota; Viridiplantae; Streptophyta; Magnoliopsida; Malpighiales; Euphorbiaceae.
CGUCACGCCGACAUCAUCAAUGCGAUCCGCUCGACCGGCGCUGCGGUUCGCCUGAUCACCGACGGCGACGUCGCCGGCGUGAUCCACACCGCCGAUCCGGAGAANNNNNNNNGAUAUCUACAUGGGCACCGGUGGCGCGCCGGAAGGCGUGCUGGCUGCUGCGGCGCUCCGCUGCAUCGGCGGCCAGAUGCAGUGCCGUCUCAUUCUCGNNNCGCGAACGCGCGAUGAAGAUGGGCAUCAAGGACCUCAACAUGGUCUAUGGCAUCGAGGACAUGGCACGCGGCGACUGCCUGUUCGCGGCAACCGGCGUCACCGAUGGUUCGCUGCUCUCUGG